GUGGGGAAUAUUGGACAAUGGGCGAAAGCCUGAUCCAGCCAUGCCGCGUGUGUGAAGAAGGUCUUCGGAUUGUAAAGCACUUUAAGUUGGGAGGAAGUGCAGUAAGUUAAUACCUUGCUGUUUUGACGUUACCGACAGAAUAAGCACCGGCUAACUUCGUGCCAGCAGCCGCGGUAAUACGAAGGGUGCAAGCGUUAAUCGGAAUUACUGGGCGUAACGCGCGCGUAGGUGGUUUUGUAAGUUGGAGGUGAAAUCCCCGGGCUCAACCUGGGAACUGCCUCCAAAACUGCAUGACUAGAGUACGGUAGAGGGUAGUGGAAUUUCCUGUGUAGCGGUGAAAUGCGUAGAUAUAGGAAGGAACACCAGUGGCGAAGGCGACUACCUGGACUGAUACUGACACUGAGGUGCGAAAGCGUGGGGAGCAAACAGGAUUAGAUACCCCAGUAGUCC
Molecule: ribosomal RNA, 450 nt
Filed under: uncultured bacterium
Lineage: Bacteria
Description: bacterial SSU rRNA
Rfam family: Bacterial small subunit ribosomal RNA
Source: RNAcentral